Molecule: ribosomal RNA, 496 nt
Filed under: uncultured bacterium
Lineage: Bacteria
Description: partial 16S ribosomal RNA
Rfam family: Bacterial small subunit ribosomal RNA
Source: RNAcentral
AUGCACGCUGGCGGCGUGCCUCAUACAUGCAAGUCGCGCGAACGGACGAGAAGCUUGCUUCUCUGAUGUUAGCGGCGGACGGGUGAGUAACACGUGGAUAACCUACCUAUAAGACUGGGAUAACUUCGGGAAACCGGAGCUAAUACCGGAUAAUAUUUUGAACCGCAUGGUUCAAAAGUGAAAGACGGUCUUGCUGUCACUUAUAGAUGGAUCCGCGCUGCAUUAGCUAGUUGGUAAGGUAACGGCUUACCAAGGCAACGAUGCAUAGCCGACCUGAGAGGGUGAUCGGCCACACUAGAACUGAGACACGGUCCAGACUCCUACGGGAGGCAGCAGUAGGGAAUCUUCCGCAAUGGGCGAAAGCCUGACGGAGCAACGCCGCGUGAGUGAUGAAGGUCUUCGGAUCGUAAAACUCUGUUAUUAGGGAAGAACAUAUGUGUAAGUAACUGUGCACAUCUUGACGGUACCUAAUCAGAAAGCCACGGCUAACUACGUG